CAGCCCGCGGUAAUUCCAGCUCCAAUAGCGUAUAUUAAAGUUGUUGCAGUUAAAAAGCUCGUAGUUGAAUUUCGGGAUUGACACAUCGGUCGUGCCUUAAGGGGUAUGAACUGGUGUAGUCAAUUUCUCACCUUCUGGAGAACCGCAAUGCCCUUAAUUGGGUGUCGCGGGGAACCAGGACCUUUACUUUGAAAAAAUUAGAGUGUUUAAAGCAGGCAUUUUGCUUGAAUACAUUAGCAUGGAAUAAUAAAAUAGGACGGAUGAUUCUAUUUUGUUGGUUUCUAGGACCACCGUAAUGAUUAAUAGGGAUAGUUGGGGGUAUUAGUAUUCAAUUGUCAGAGGUGAAAUUCUUGGAUUUAUUGAAGACUAACUACUGCGAAAGCAUUUGCCAAGGAUGUUUUCAUUAAUCAAGAACGAAAGUUAGGGGAUCGAAGACGAUCAGAUACCGUCGUAGUCUUAACCAUAAACUAUGCCGACUAGGAAUCAGACGAUGUUAAUUUUUUAAUGACUCGUUUGGCACCUUACG
RNAcentral lists this unclassified non-coding RNA (526 nucleotides) under uncultured Glomeromycotina. RNAcentral describes it as "SSU rRNA". It matches the Rfam family "Eukaryotic small subunit ribosomal RNA", at positions 568 to 1092 of the family's 1831-position model. Lineage: Eukaryota; Fungi; Glomeromycota. The record is from RNAcentral.